RNAcentral lists this unclassified non-coding RNA (223 nucleotides) under plant metagenome. Its description in RNAcentral is "partial contains small subunit ribosomal RNA, internal transcribed spacer 1, and 5.8S ribosomal RNA". The record is from RNAcentral.
UCUCCGUUGGUGAACCAGCGGAGGGAGCAUUACCGAGUUGUCAACUCCCAAACCCCUGUGAACAUACCCAACGUUGCUUCGGCGGGACCGCCCCGGCGCCCUCGGCGUCCCGGAACCAGGCGCCCGCCGGAGGACCCAAACUCUUGUUUAAACCAUAGUGGCAUAUUCUGAGUCUCACAAGAAAAAUGAAUCAAAACUUUCAGCAACGGAUCUCUUGGCUCUG